This 252-nucleotide ribosomal RNA is filed under the name uncultured bacterium. RNAcentral describes it as "partial 16S ribosomal RNA". It matches the Rfam family "Bacterial small subunit ribosomal RNA", at positions 524 to 776 of the family's 1533-position model. The record is from RNAcentral.
UACGUAGGGGGCAAGCGUUAUCCGGAUUUAUUGGGUUUAAAGGGUGCGUAGGCGGAUCGUUAAGUCAGUGGUCAAAUUGAGGGGCUCAACCCCUUCCCGCCAUUGAAACUGGCGAUCUUGAGUGGAAGAGAAGUAUGCGGAAUGCGUGGUGUAGCGGUGAAAUGCAUAGAUAUCACGCAGAACCCCGAUUGCGAAGGCAGCAUGCCGGCUUCCUACUGACGCUGAAGCACGAAAGCGUGGGUAUCGAACAGG